UAAAAUACCAAAAAUCUUAUGAUUCUCUUUGUUCUUCAAAGAACCCUAGAAUUCUCAGUUCCUCAAUUCAUUAGUUCAUCUUCACUCUUCAGUUCAUCACUUCAUCCUCACUCAAUAACCCAACCAGCCAACCCUAUUUGAUUAUAUUCUUCUUCUUGAUUCCAACUUCAAAUUCUUCUAUCUCGAUUAUGAACCAAAGUUCAUUCGACAAAUCGUUGAUGUAGAGGUUGUCAUACUCGAUCAUCGCUAGGGAGCUGGUACUUGAAGCAGGUGUUGUGGGUUUCGCAUAAGAAGUAGAGCUUGGAAAUUAAGGCAAAGAGCUUGAUGUUGCGAUCGAUGUCUACGCCAUAUAAGUUCCUAGAUUUCUAUUUUUCUUCAUCUUUCUUUUUGGGUUUAACUUGUUUGGCUCCCAAAAUGUUCAUUUUGGGUUCAAACAUAACUCUUGCUCUCUUUUCUUCUAUUUUGGUUUACGAGUUUCUUUCUUAUCUUCUUCUUCUUCUCGGUCCACGCAUCAAAGAUCGAAAUCCAAACCGAGUCUAAUUAAUUCAGUCUUGUUCGGUUUCUGAUGUUAGAAAGCUUCAUUUCAACUCGACCCGUUAAAAUUGGGCUCGGUCCCGAUUCUGAACCGUGCCCACCCCGAGUUUUGGAGGGUAGAAGUGUAAAAUACAAUGAGCAAUUAUAGGCCCGUGUAAAAAGUAUGUAAUCUCUGUCUAUAUAUGGCGGUGACUUGACUUCCACUUAUAAUAAUAUCGGCCGCUGCUGCAAAUAGGGUUGGGUCUUCUUUCUUCUUCUAGCUCUCGAUUUCCGACCAAACCUUCCGCCCUAGAUCGCAGCCAUGUCGUCCAAGCAAGGUGGAAAGGCAAAGCCUUUGAAGCAACCCAAGGCUGAGAAGAAGGAGUACGACGAGGAUGAUUUGGCUAACCUUCAGACGAAGAAGGAUGAGGAGAAGG
Molecule: long non-coding RNA, 950 nt
Organism: Rosa rugosa (rugosa rose)
Lineage: Eukaryota; Viridiplantae; Streptophyta; Magnoliopsida; Rosales; Rosaceae
Exons: 4
Source: RefSeq, a predicted model, not a curated record